AUACAUUUUUGUGUUACAUGUUAUUAAUUACUUGGCAGCACGGUGGCUUAGUGGUUAGCACUGUUGCUCCACAGCAAGAAGGUCAUGGGGUCGAUUCCCACCUGCAGCCUUCUUGUGUGUUUGCGUGUUCUCCCUAUGUUUGUGUGGGUUUCCUCCAGGUGCUCCGGCUUCCUCCCACAUCCAAGGACAUGCAGGUUAGGUGGACUGGAAAAUU
Molecule: long non-coding RNA, 214 nt
Organism: Thalassophryne amazonica
Lineage: Eukaryota; Metazoa; Chordata; Actinopteri; Batrachoidiformes; Batrachoididae
Exons: 4
Source: RefSeq, a predicted model, not a curated record